RNAcentral lists this long non-coding RNA (771 nucleotides) under Rattus norvegicus (Norway rat). Its description in RNAcentral is "long non-coding RNA NONRATT009472". Lineage: Eukaryota; Metazoa; Chordata; Mammalia; Rodentia; Muridae. The record is from RNAcentral.
CAGGAGCUCACAAGGUGCUUGCUUGUCUUAGGCGGGAAGUCAGGGGUGGCUUCCUGGAGCAGGGAAUACUGGGAAUCACCCCUUGAAAAUGGCUGUUCAGAAGGACUGAGGCAGGCUUUGGGCACCUUCUCCACUAGGUCUGACCUUCCGUGGAGAGAAAGUAAGGUCUUGAGAUGUCUACCCUUCCUCAGUAACUUCUGUCCUUUUAAAGUCUUGAAGUCAGAUAAUAGGAGAAGAGCAAGCCAAGAGCCCCCACUUCCUCAGUUUAAUGAUUUGGGCUCCUACCUAGUUUGGCUUUCUAGAGGAACUCCAGCCUCGGUUCUUAGAGCUAUAAAUUGGGAGCACAGGGUGGACUCCACACACCCUUGUCAUCAGUGCCGUGAGGGCCAUUUGGCAGGUUUGCUAGUAUUCACUUUAUCAGCCCAGUGUAUCAGAACCCAGAGGCUCCUUCCUGUGAGGAACCCCAACUAGCAGUCACAAUUGUCCCCUAAACUGGCAUUAUUCUGUUGGUACCCCCACUUACUCCAUCAGGUCCUUUUUUGGACCCCUGAGGAACUGCAUGAGAAUAAGGUCAGUAGCCUGCUCUCAACAAGGUGGGACGGCUAGGGAGUGAUCCAGAAGGGCAGGCUACUGGGAUUCCUAUUACUACAGUGUCAAUCCCCAAUUACAUACACAGAAAACCCUCCAGGCCCGGGUGGCCCAAGCCUGAAAGCUCAACAUUCAGAAGGCUGAAGCGGGGAGAUCUACUGCGUCAGAAAACGAAAGGAAAAA